This 434-nucleotide ribosomal RNA is filed under the name uncultured bacterium. RNAcentral describes it as "bacterial SSU rRNA". It matches the Rfam family "Bacterial small subunit ribosomal RNA", at positions 29 to 506 of the family's 1533-position model. The record is from RNAcentral.
AACGAACGCUGGCGGCAGGCUUAACACAUGCAAGUCGAACGGGCACCUUCGGGUGUCAGUGGCAGACGGGUGAGUAACGCGUGGGAACGUACCCUUCGGUUCGGAAUAACCCAGGGAAACUUGGGCUAACACCGGAUACGUCCGCAAGGAGAAAGAUUUAUCGCCGAAGGAUCGGCCCGCGUCGGAUUAGCUAGUUGGUGGGGUAAUGGCCCACCAAGGCGACGAUCCGUAGCUGGUCUGAGAGGAUGANCAGCCACACUGGGACUGAGACACGGCCCAGACUCCUACGGGAGGCAGCAGUGGGGAAUAUUGGACAAUGGGCGAAAGCCUGAUCCAGCCAUGCCGCGUGAGUGAAGAAGGCCUUAGGGUUGUAAAGCUUCUUUCAGCGGGAAGAUAAUGACGGUACCCGCAGAAGAAGUCCCGGCUAACUUCGU